This 9017-nucleotide long non-coding RNA is filed under the name Brassica napus (rape). Its description in RNAcentral is "long non-coding RNA (BNAP_LNC007055)". Lineage: Eukaryota; Viridiplantae; Streptophyta; Magnoliopsida; Brassicales; Brassicaceae. The record is from RNAcentral.
AUUACCAUAUCAUUAGAAAGGCGACAUCACCAGAAAAAAAUAACGUGGCAAAGAUGUUUUACUAUGUGAUUCUCCCUUUAGCUCUUCUUGUCAUUGCUUACAAAUUCAUCUUCAGCUAUAGAACACAGCGUUUCAACCUCCCUCCCUCUCCGCCUCACUCUCUCCCCAUUAUCGGCCACCACCGCCUCAUUAAACCUCCCGUCCACCGUCUCUUCCAUGGACUCGCCAAAACACACGGCUCAAUCUUCUACCUCCGAUUAGGUACCCGCCGUGCGGUUGUCAUCUCUUCCUCCGCACUCGCAAGAGAAUGCUUCACGGGUAACGACGUAGUUGUAUCGAACCGCCCUCGUUUCCUGACUUCCAAAUACAUCGCUUACAACUACACAACCAUUGCGACCACACCUUACGGUGACCACUGGCGUAACCUCCGCAAAAUAUGCUCCCUCGAAAUCGUCUCCUCAAAACGUCUCGCAAACUUUCUCCACAUCCGCAAAGAGGAAAUCCACCGCAUGCUCACGAGACUCUCACGUGACGCACUCAUCAGCAAAGAGGUCGAGGUCGAGUCCUUGUUUUACGAUCUAACGUUCAACAACAUCGUGAGGAUGGUUACGGGGAAGAUCUAUUACGGAGAAGAUGCUAGUGACAAAGCAGAAGCAGAUACGUUCAAGAAACUCAUUGCUUAUAUUACCAGUACUAGUGGCGCGAGGCACCCUGGUGAAUACUUGCCAUUCUUGAAAAUAUUCGGAAGGAGUUUUGAGAAGAAAGUGAAAGCUGUAGGAGAAGCCAUGGAUGCGAUCUUGCAGCGUCUGCUUGAUGAGUGUAGAGGAAAUAAAGACGGUAACACAAUGGUUAAUCACUUGCUCUCUUUGCAACAACAAGACCCAGAGUAUUACAGUGAGGUCAUCAUCAAAGGCCUAAUGCUGGUAACAACCAAACACAGUCAUUUUGUCACAACGACAACAUUAACACACAAUCUUAUUAAACAUAAUUUAGAUAAAAAUAAUUUUAUUAAAAUACAUUUUGACAACUUGUUCACCCGUCUUCUAAUCCUGGGACGAAUUAUUCAACCACUAACCAUUUAGAAUUAGGUGAAUGCCAUUUUGUCGCGCUGGAAUUAAAUCGCAUAUCUUUGCCAAAAAUGCGAAGUCAUUUGAGAGCAUUUAUUAUAAACUCUAUUGAUUUUCUUGUGAAUAAAUUUAAAUAUAUAGGAUUAUGAAAAAUACAAGUUUACAAAAAAUAUUAACCAUUAUUUGAGUCUUUUAAAUAAGAUACUAUCUUCUUUUUAUCUUUUUACUUUUGAUACUUUUAAUUAUAUAAUCUAAAAUUUUAAUUUAGAGGUUAUAUUGAUGCAGAUAUCUAUUGAGUAUAAGUUUUUAAACAAUUUUUUAAAAAAAGUUUUCAUAAUACAACACUAAUAUAAGUAAAACUAAAAUUAAAUUUAAUAAAUCGUAGCAAAUAAGCACUCUUUCGAACUUUUAAAAACAUAUCACCCUCUUUUCUUUCACUUUUUAUUUGUUUUAUUAUAAUAGUGAAAAGAAUUUGGUUGAAGUACCAAGGUAUUUCAAAGAGUAUUAGAGUAUUUCCAUUGGAUUCUAGCCAAAACGUUUUUAAAAUAUAUUUAUAUAUAUUUGUGUAUGUAUUUUUAAAAAAAAAUGGCUAGAAUCCCAUAUAUAUAUAUAUAUAUAUAUAUAUGUAUUUUUUAAAAAAAAUUGGCUAGAAUCCCAAUUGAAAGUGCUCUUACUCUCUAGUUAAAUGUAAAAUUAGAAAAACAAGAACAUGAUUUCGUCAAAAAAAAAAGAAAGAGACACGAUUGAUGAAAAUCAAUUCUUGGAAAUAUCCUCAACAAAAACAUGACAAACUCUAUGAAACAUGUCGGCUUUUUAAUAGUUUAAAAAUCAGAAAAGUAAAAUAUAACUAUAUAAAUAAUUGUUAAUAUUUUAUUAUUUAUUGAGAAAUUCAUGCAUGUGCAGCCGUUGAUAUGUCAUAUGCUCACCUUUUCUCUUUGCUUGCAGAUCCUCCUUCAACCCCAAAACUCAUUCCUCUUAUAUAUAGAUCCUCCUUCAACCCCAAUACUCAUUCCUCUUAUUUAUAGAUUACCAUAUCAUUAGAAAGGCGACAUCACCAGAAAAAAAUAACGUGGCAAAGAUGUUUUACUAUGUGAUUCUCCCUUUAGCUCUUCUUGUCAUUGCUUACAAAUUCAUCUUCAGCUAUAGAACGCAGCGUUUCAACCUCCCUCCCUCUCCGCCUCACUCUCUCCCCAUUAUCGGCCACCACCGCCUCAUUAAACCUCCCGUCCACCGUCUCUUCCAUGGACUCGCCAAAACACACGGCCCAAUCUUCUACCUCCGACUAGGUACCCGCCGUGCGGUUGUCAUCUCUUCCUCCGCACUCGCAAGAGAAUGUUUCACGGGUCAUAACGACGUGGUUGUAUCAAACCGCCCUCGUUUCCUAACUUCCAAAUACAUCGCUUACAACUACACAACCAUUGCGACCACACCUUACGGUGACCACUGGCGUAACCUCCGCAAAAUAUGCUCCCUCGAAAUCGUCUCCUCAAAACGUCUCGCAAACUUUCUCCACAUCCGCAAAGAGGAAAUCCACCGCAUGCUCACGAGACUCUCACGUGACGCACUCAUCAGCAAAGAGGUCGAGGUCGAGUCCUUGUUUUACGAUCUAACGUUCAACAACAUCGUGAGGAUGGUUACGGGGAAGAUCUAUUACGGAGAAGAUGCUAGUGACAAAGCAGAAGCAGAUACGUUCAAGAAACUCAUUGCUUAUAUUACCAGUACUAGUGGCGCGAGGCACCCUGGUGAAUACUUGCCAUUCUUGAAAAUAUUCGGAAGGAGUUUUGAGAAGAAAGUGAAAGCUGUAGGAGAAGCCAUGGAUGCGAUCUUGCAGCGUCUGCUUGAUGAGUGUAGAGGAAAUAAAGACGGUAACACAAUGGUUAAUCACUUGCUCUCAUUGCAACAACAAGACCCAGAGUAUUACAGUGAAGUCAUCAUCAAAGGCCUAAUGCUGGUAACAACCAAACACAGUCAUUUUGUCACAACGACAACAUUAACACACACACACACACACAUAUAUAUAUAUAUAUAUAUGCACACAUAUAACGACGCAUCAUAUUAUUACUUUUAACAAAAAAAAAUAUUUUUUAUAUAUAUUAGAAAACGAGGAAUUUAUAAAUAAAUGAAACUAAAAAUGGGAUUGGCUUUUUUUUUUGUUAAAAAAAUAGCCACUGAACUAAAUAAUAUAUUAAUAUACUGACUAAUUAUUACGAUUUAUUUAUUUUAUUAUGUAUAUAUAUUUUUUUUUAUUUUUUUUCAUGAGCACUAGUAUAUAUAUUACGACAUUAAUAUACAACAAAAGAGCUAAUAAUUGUCUGCAAAACAGGGUAUCAUGUUUGCCGCAUCAGAAACAUCGGCAGUGACAAUAGAGUGGGCGAUGGCGAGUUUGUUGAAUCAUCCAGAGUUGUUGGAAAAGUUGAAACUAGAGAUUGACGAGAAAAUCGGACAAGACCGCUUGAUCGAGGAAACAGACAUUCCAAACCUGCCUUACCUCCAAAACGUAGUGUCGGAGACACUCAGGCUAUAUCCAGCAGCGCCGCUUCUUGUGCCAAGAUUAACAGUAGAGGACAUCAAGAUCGGAGGCUACGACGUGCCUCGUGAGACGAUGGUCAUGGUGAACGCGUGGAGUAUACACAGGGAUCCAGAACUGUGGACGGAACCAGAGAGGUUUAAUCCAGAUAGGUUUAACGGUGGAGGAGAAGGAGAAAAGGACGAUGUCCGUAUGCUGAUAACCUUUGGAAGUGGACGGAGAAUGUGUCCCGGCGCAGGAUUAGCGAACAAGAUUGUGACGUUGGCGUUAGGAUCUUUGAUUCAAUGCUUUGAUUGGGGAAGAGUCAAUGGCAAAAAGAUUGAUAUGACUGAGGGUCCAGAGAUGGCAAUGCGUAAGGUGGUGCCGUUACGAGCCAUGUGUCAGCUUCGACCCGUUAUGAAUAAGCUUCUUACCGAGUCAAAAGUUUAGUUCUGCUUCAGUGUGUUUCUAUUGAAAAAAACUAUUAUGCGAAUAAAUUGUGUAGUUACACACUUCGUUGCUUCUCUGUAACGAAAACUAUAUGUGUAAUGCGAAUAAAUUGAAAACCCUAGCAUUUUUCCUUUUACAUAAAUAUUACCAUGUUUUUAGAUUGGUUUUUGAGCUUAUUUGGAACAAACUAAAAAUGAACUUGAGCAUACAAGAAAGAAAGAUUCAACAUAUACCGGUAAAAGAAUGAACUUUUUUCUUUAGUAUAUAUGUAUGUAUGUUAAGAAGAUAUGUUAUUUAUUUUCAAAUAUAUAUAAAGUUUUUUGACAAAAAAUUAAAUUGAAAACUACAUUCUAUUAAUUCGACGUGUGAUCUGCAAAUUAUAGCUUGUAUGUCGGUUUGGUACUAAGCGAUAUAUCCAAUAAUGUAUUCUUCUUUCUUUUUUUUUUCUAACCAAUUCAAUAAAGUAUUCGAAAAGAUAUAGUGAAAGUUAUAUGCAAUACAGUUUUGCAUGGUUUUGGCUCUUUUCCUAAAUUGGAAUCUCCAAUGUAUAGUUAUAUAAUUUCAUUUAAAACAGGGAUCUCUAUUAUAGAGGUAAAAAUGUUAUAAUAUACUCUCUCUUUUCUUAAAUAUAGGAUGUUUAGAAUAGUUUCUAUGUUCCAAUAUGUAGGACGUUCUCAUAUUUUUAGAUAGUUAUAAAUUUAUCAAAAACUGUGUAACCAAUCAAAUUUAAUAGUUCUAUUUUGUAAUUGGUUGAAUAGUUUUUAAUUUAAAAAUUUAAUGAUAUUUUUUAGAUAAAAAAUAACUUUCUUAAUAAGUGUGUUUUACCUAAAAAAUCUUAUAUUUAAGAACGGAUGGAGUAUGUUUUUAUAAUAGAGUUCUUCUAUUUUAAAGUGAAAUAUAGAAGAAAGUUAUUUUUUAAUAUUUUAUAAAAAUAUAUUAUAGUAAAAUAUAAAUCAUAAAAUAUAUAUAAAUUACACAAAAAAAUAUUAAAUUUUGAAACUACUUAGACAUUUUUCUUAUAAAUUAUUUUUAAUUUUUAAAACUUGAAUAGCAAUAGUUUUCCUUAUAUAAAUAUUAUAAAUUAAACAAAAAUAAAAAUACAUAAAAUUUUGAAACUAAUUAUAAAUUUUCUUAUAUAAAUUAUUUAUAUUUUCUUAAAGUUGAAUGGAAAUUUUUAUAUUUCUGGAUUAAUACAAUAUAUUGUAUUAAUAAAACGUAUUAUGUUUUUUAUAAUUUUCGUCAUUUUUAAUGUGAUUAAUAAUUAUUAAAAUAAUUCAAUUAUUUUAUUUAUAAAAACUAAUAACUAAGUUUUAAAAUUAAAUAAUAUUAUUUAUAAAAAAAAUAUUUACAGAUCUGAAACACAAAUUUAAAUAUUUCACAUUAUCGUUCAAAUGAUAUCUAAUGUACCAAAAAUUGUAUGCUAAUAUUGUUUUUAUGAAAAUAUUAUUUAUUAAUUAUUAAUUAAUUAAAAUGUAGUAGUUUCUCCAAAAAAAAAUUCGUUUUUCUUCAUAAAAACUCACAAAAGUUGAUUUUUGGUUUUUCUUCAUUAAUUGGUUAAACUUUUCAAAAACUAGUUUCCCUAAAUUUUAAGAAAUCUAUUUAUUAAAAAUCUUGAUUGGCAACUCACAUAAUUUUUAUAAAAUCUAAAACUAAAAACUAAAACAAAAACCACAAACAAUCAACCUUUAGGAGAAAAAAAAAACUAUUUUUUCUAUUUUUUCCACCUAACUAGGUGGCUAUAUGUACAUCCGCUUUAGUUUAUGUAUUUUUCUCCUAACUAGGUGACUAUAUGUACAUAUAUUAUGUACUUUAGUCUACAUAUAACCUAGUUAGGAAAAAACUAUUUUUUGCCUUGUACUUAUUUGGAGAAAGCGGACUAAGCGUUACGGAUCUAGCGGACCAAGCGAAUCGAGCUGCUUUAUAAUGCUAAACCUAUUAAUAUCAAUUUAAAAACAAAUAACUGCUUUAACCUAUGCUAGAACACUCCUUAGGUGAUGUCUUUAUAUUGUUCAUAGUAGAACUUAUUUUUCUCUUUGUAAAGUUAAACCACUAGUGGUUCUUUAAUUUUUUAUUAUUAAAAAGGUAGAUCAUAUUUUAUCAAACAACAAUUGAUGAAUGGCAAAUAAAUAGGUGGUUUAUCCACCUGAUGGGAGAAAUGCUUUUUUUCUACUUUUUAUUCUUAGCCUAAGAGCAAGUCCAAUGGAAAUUCUUAGCAAAAUAUCCUUAGCAAAAAAAUAUUAUAAUAAUAUGUGAGGCCUACUAAAUUUAAGAGUUUGUGUCAAAUUAAUCUUUAGUUAAGGUUCAGAUUUGUUAUUGUGUACGGGUCCUACCGUCACGUGGAAUCCCGCGAUUGGCUCUUCCUUUUUUUUAGCGAAAAAAAUAAUAAUAAUAAAAUAAUUUUAAAAACUUACCUCGGUUAUCGAACCAAAAGUAACAGUGUUGCGGAUGGUCUAAGAUACUGUAACGUCUUGGCCGCUUCCAUUAUUGGGUCUUUACCCAUGUUCACUCGGCCUGUGGAUUUUACUAUCCCAUUGAUGAUUGCCUAUUAGUUUUUUUUUGGAUGUUUCCUAAUUUUGUAAUCACUACAUGAAUCAGGACGUGAUAUUUUUGUUUUUUUAAUACGAUGUUACCAAUUACAUUCUAAUUUGUUACAUAUUUUCCAGUAUUCCAAUAUGUGUGACCGAAAAUCUAAAUAUAAUUUAAAAACUCAAAUAAUUAAAUUAAAUAUUUUAAUAUAUAUUGCCAUAAUACAUACCAUAUAUUAGAAAUACGUAUGUAAUUUUGUGGGAUUACUUGAUUCCACAGUAAUGAAAAUAUUAAUAUUUCUUAAACAUCUGCAGGCUAGUCAUCGUUAACUCCUUUUACAUGGUUUACAUAUGAAUUGUGGUAGAAUUUAUUAAUCCAAUAUAUUUCAAAGAAUAUAUAAAAGACUACACAUGCAGACACACUCCAUUAUCAUGCACUAGUUGAAUACUCUACUGAUGCAGAAGUAUAAUAAUUGCACUUUAAAAUAUGUCCUUAUUCAAACUUAAGUUAGCUUGGGCUGAGGUUGGGCUGAGGAUGUGGAGAUGAAGCUCUGUUUGUUUUGGUGUUUAAGACAGUUUAGUCUGAAAAGUAUUAUUAUUCUUAAUCAUACAAACGACGCAUUAUAUAAACGUGUAAUAUAAUUAUUGGCUUUAAUCGAUGAAUUGUAUAGACUUUUUAUUUAAUGUUAUCAGGUUGUUAGGAUUAUAUAUUUACUUUAGGCAGCACUUGUUUGACUGAGAAGUACACCAGAAAAUUAAAAAAUAAAUAAAAAUUCGAUGUUCAAGGAAACAAAAUCAAAAUAACUUUUUAAAACAAUACAAUUUUAACUAAAAUUCUCAUGAUGUUGAAAUAUAUAGAAGAAACCAUAAAAGUAUUUUUUGGUAAAUCAGUAAUAACAAAGUUUGCCAACCUUAAAAACGUAAUAUGACUAAAACGAUAAUUAUAACUAAUCUAGGGAGUGUAUUUAAAUUGGAAUUUUGUAUAGUUUGUAUUAAAAUAAUAAAUUAUAUCUUAUUAAACAUAAUUUAGAUAAAAAUAAUUUUAUUAAAAUACAUUUUGACAACUUGUUCACCCGUCUUCUAAUCCUGGGACGAAUUAUUCAACCACUAACCAUUUAGAAUUAGGUGAAUGCCAUUUUGUCGCGCUGGAAUUAAAUCGCAUAUCUUUGCCAAAAAUGCGAAGUCAUUUGAGAGCAUUUAUUAUAAACUCUAUUGAUUUUCUUGUGAAUAAAUUUAAAUAUAUAGGAUUAUGAAAAAUACAAGUUUACAAAAAAUAUUAACCAUUAUUUGAGUCUUUUAAAUAAGAUACUAUCUUCUUUUUAUCUUUUUACUUUUGAUACUUUUAAUUAUAUAAUCUAAAAUUUUAAUUUAGAGGUUAUAUUGAUGCAGAUAUCUAUUGAGUAUAAGUUUUUAAACAAUUUUUUAAAAAAAGUUUUCAUAAUACAACACUAAUAUAAGUAAAACUAAAAUUAAAUUUAAUAAAUCGUAGCAAAUAAGCACUCUUUCGAACUUUUAAAAACAUAUCACCCUCUUUUCUUUCACUUUUUAUUUGUUUUAUUAUAAUAGUGAAAAGAAUUUGGUUGAAGUACCAAGGUAUUUCAAAGAGUAUUAGAGUAUUUCCAUUGGAUUCUAGCCAAAACGUUUUUAAAAUAUAUUUAUAUAUAUUUGUGUAUGUAUUUUUAAAAAAAAAUGGCUAGAAUCCCAUAUAUAUAUAUAUAUAUAUAUAUAUGUAUUUUUUAAAAAAAAUUGGCUAGAAUCCCAAUUGAAAGUGCUCUUACUCUCUAGUUAAAUGUAAAAUUAGAAAAACAAGAACAUGAUUUCGUCAAAAAAAAAAGAAAGAGACACGAUUGAUGAAAAUCAAUUCUUGGAAAUAUCCUCAACAAAAACAUGACAAACUCUAUGAAACAUGUCGGCUUUUUAAUAGUUUAAAAAUCAGAAAAGUAAAAUAUAACUAUAUAAAUAAUUGUUAAUAUUUUAUUAUUUAUUGAGAAAUUCAUGCAUGUGCAGCCGUUGAUAUGUCAUAUGCUCACCUUUUCUCUUUGCUUGCAGAUCCUCCUUCAACCCCAAAACUCAUUCCUCUUAUAUAUAGAUCCUCCUUCAACCCCAAUACUCAUUCCUCUUAUUUAUAGAUUACCAUAUCAUUAGAAAGGCGACAUCACCAGAAAAAAAUAACGUGGCAAAGAUGUUUUACUAUGUGAUUCUCCCUUUAGCUCUUCUUGUCAUUGCUUACAAAUUCAUCUUCAGCUAUAGAACGCAGCGUUUCAACCUCCCUCCCUCUCCGCCUCACUCUCUCCCCAUUAUCGGCCACCACCGCCUCAUUAAACCUCCCGUCCACCGUCUCUUCCAUGGACUCGCCAAAACACACGGCCCAAUAUUCUACCUCCGACUAGGUACCCGCCGUGCGGUUGUCAUCUCUUCCUCCGCACUCGCAAGAGAAUGUUUCACGGGUCAUAACGACGUGGUUGUAUC